UCUUUCUUUCUUUCAUCUACACACUCACUCACACUUACUGUGUGAGGUGAGGAAGAAACAACAACAAUGCUUCGGUUAACAUCUUCACCCUUUUCUCUUUCUCUCCCUAUUUCACUUUCCUUCUUCACUCUCCCUUCAUUCUUCCCUCGCCCUUCACUCUACCUUCCUUCUUCCACUUUCCAAACUAUUUCACUUCGCAUCAAAACACCACCACCUCUUUCUUGUUCUCUUUCUUCUUCUGUCAAGGAAUCUGCUUCAUUUUCUCAGAUGGAGAAUAGUUUGUUGUUGUACUCAAGAGCUUAUUGGGUCAGUGAAUUUGUUAUUGCUUGGAAUGUUGAUGUUGAAAAUGGCUUUUGUUACUUACUUUCUAGCAAAUAUGCUUCUUUGAGCAUUUCAAAUGGUCAAAUUCAAGGUGAGGAUUUGAAAAUUAAGCUUGAAGAGGAUAAGGCUGGCCUUUCUGCAAAUGUAGUGGAGAAAUUUCCACAUAUUCGAGGUUACAGAGCUUUCAGACUGCCACCCGGUUCGGAUGUUAAAUCUUUUCUUAAAUCCCAGUUGGCGGUUGUUAUUUGUGAUUCUGAUGAGAAAUGCAGGAAUUGUACUGGUUUGCAGUUACCUGGUGUUUUAGACGAGCUUUUCUCAUAUAAUGGCCCCCUUGGUGCACUUUUCUCAGAGGAAGCUGUGUCACUUUACUUGUGGGCGCCCACUGCUCAAUUGGUGCAUGCUUACAUCUAUAAGCACCCAUCAGGAGAUGAUCCCAUAGAAAUUGUUCCUCUCGAGGAGGAACAUGGUGUUUGGAGAACGAAAGGGCCAAAAAGUUGGGAGGGCUGUUACUAUGUUUAUGAAGUAUGUGUAUACCACCCUAGCACAUCAAGGGUUGAAAAAUGCUAUGCAAAUGAUCCAUAUGCUAGAGGACUUUCAGCAGAUGGCAGGCGGACUUUUCUGCUUGAUCUUGACUCAGACGAGUUAAAACCUGAUGGAUGGGAUAAUCUGGCAAAUGAGAAACCCAUUUUACAUUCUUUCUCUGAUAUAAGCAUAUAUGAAAUGCAUAUAAGGGAUUUCAGUGCCAAUGACCUCUCUGUGCAAACUGAAUUUCGCGGUGGUUAUCUGGCCUUUACUUUUCCGGAUUCGGCAGGUGUACUUCAUCUUAAGAAAUUAUCAAGUGCUGGUAUCACUCAUGUCCAUCUAUUGCCAGCAUUUCAGUUUGCUGGGGUUGAUGAUCAAAAGGAGAACUGGAAAAAUGUUGAUACGUCGGUACUGGAAAGCUUCCCACCUGAUUCAGAUCAGCAACAAGCUCUUAUUACAGCCAUCCAAAACAUUGAUGGAUAUAACUGGGGGUACAACCCUGUUCUUUGGGGUGUCCCUAAAGGAAGCUAUGCAAGUAACCCAAAUGGUCCAAAUCGUGCAGUUGAGUUUCGUAAGAUGGUUCAGGCUCUUAAUCGUACCGGCCUUCGCAUUGUGUUGGAUGUUGUCUACAAUCAUUUGCAAGGAAGUGGGCCCUUUGAUGAACAUUCUGUCCUUGAUAAGAUUGUUCCAGGUUACUAUCUAAGAAGGAACACAGAUGGUUUUAUUGAGAACAGUACUUGUAUGAAUAAUACUGCCAGUGAGCACUUUAUGGUUGAGCGAUUGAUCCUUGACGAUCUUGUACACUGGGCAGUCAAUUACAAGAUUGAUGGGUUCAGAUUUGACCUUAUGGGUCAUAUAAUGAAGAGCACAAUGGUGAAAGCAAAAAAUGCUCUCCAUUGUUUAACAAAAGAAAAGGAUGGAGUUGAUGGUUCAAGCAUCUACAUAUAUGGUGAAGGAUGGGACUUUGGUGAAGUUGCUAAAAACGGGCGUGGGAUAAAUGCUUCUCAGUUCAAUCUUUCUGGAACACAUAUUGGGACAUUUAAUGAUCGAAUUCGAGAUGCCAUGCUUGGUGGAUCUCCAUUCGGCCACCCUCUUCAACAGGGUUUUGUGACUGGUCUACUUUUGCAGCCUAAUGACCAUGACCAUGGAACAGAAGCUGAUAUGAAAUCCAUGCUUGCCGCAUCAAUGGAUCACAUCCAGAUUGGAAUGGCUGCAAACUUGCAAGAUUUUGUGCUAACCAACUCUAAAGGAGAAGAGGUGAAAGGAUCAGAAGUAUUAACAUAUGGUGGGACACCCGUUGCGUUUGCCUCAUGCCCCAUAGAGACUGUCAAUUAUGUUUCUGCUCAUGAUAAUGAAACCCUCUUUGACAUUGUGAGCUUAAAGACUCCGAUGGAUAUCAGUGUAGCCGAGAGAUGCAGGAUAAACCAUUUGGCAACAAGUGUAAUAGCAUUAUCACAGGGCAUACCUUUUUUUCACUCUGGUGAUGAGAUACUCCGCUCAAAAUCACUGGAUCGAGAUUCAUACAAUUCUGGGGAUUGGUUCAACAGGCUCGACUUUACAUACAAUUCCAAUAAUUGGGGUGUUGGUCUUCCUCCACAGGAGAAAAAUGAAAAAAGCUGGCCACUAAUCAAACCAAGACUUGCAGACCCGUCCUUCGGGCCUCAAAGGACUGACAUCCUUGCUACCGUCGACAAUUUCUUAAACCUGUUGCGUAUAAGGUAUUCUUCACCACUUUUCCGCCUGAGGACGGCAAAUGCUAUACAGCAACGAGUACGCUUUCACAACACUGGACCGUCAUUGGUUUAUGGAGUCAUAGUGAUGAGCAUUGAAGAUGGACACGAUGGCUUUCCUGGGCUGUCUCAGCUGGAUCCCAUAUAUUCGUUCGUUGUCGUUGUUUUCAAUGCAAGUCCAGAAGAGGUAUCAUUUGUUAGCCCUUCCCUGCAAUCAAGAAGUCUUCAAUUGCAUCCCAUUCAGGUAAUGUCAUCUGAUGAUCUUGUUAAGAGAUCAAAAUAUGAGUCUUCUUCUGGCUGUUUCAUUGUGCCUCGAAGAACGACAGCUGUGUUCGUCGAGCCAAGGAAAAUGUGAUGUGAAUGAUUCUUUCAGUUAUGGAUGUUAAACCAAUAAUGUAAUAAUUGCAGGCUGUAUUACUGGUGAUCAUGAUGCUAAUUUUGGUUCAGCAGGAUAGUUCUUUGGUGACCUUCACACCCCCAACACUUUUGGAUCAUAGAUUUGAGAUGGAAUUGGACAUGAGAAAAAUACUAAUCUAGGUCACUUUUCAAAUGUUUCACACACUUAUCAUGAGUACAAUGAUGAGCAAAACAAUUAUUAACACUCUGGAAAUUGCAAGUAAACUCCCAAAAAAACUUAAUUUUUUA
This is an RNA transcript of Cicer arietinum (chickpea), 3218 nucleotides long. It is a transcript of the gene named pullulanase 1, chloroplastic, with no coding region annotated. NCBI's taxonomy places the organism in Eukaryota, Viridiplantae, Streptophyta, Magnoliopsida, Fabales, Fabaceae. The record is from RefSeq and is a predicted model, not a curated record.